Molecule: ribosomal RNA, 253 nt
Filed under: uncultured bacterium
Lineage: Bacteria
Description: partial 16S ribosomal RNA
Rfam family: Bacterial small subunit ribosomal RNA
Source: RNAcentral
UACGUAGGGGGCAAGCGUUGUCCGGAAUUAUUGGGCGUAAAGCGCGCGCAGGUGGUUCCUUAAGUCUGAUGUGAAAGCCCACGGCUCAACCGUGGAGGGUCAUUGGAAACUGGGGGACUUGAGUGCAGAAGAGGAAAGUGGAAUUCCACGUGUAGCGGUGAAAUGCGUAGAGAUGUGGAGGAACACCAGUGGCGAAGGCGACUUUCUGGUCUGUAACUGACACUGAGGCGCGAAAGCGUGGGGAGCGAACAGG